UGGGUUGUACCCUUUUCUUUACAUACCACGUGUACUCAGCUCAUGGUUUUAGGGAAAACCAUCAAUCAGACCCUUGCUCCUGAUCAGAUAGAGGGAGGGCGAUAGAAAGAUUAUAGAAAGAGAGAGGGAAUCGAUUCCAUAGUGGUUUGAUGGCGGUUGAUUGAGCCGGAGCUGCGGAGACGGUGGCCGUUGAUCGCUGCGUUUGUUUAUUAGGUGAGGUGAGAUCACGUCGCAACACUGGGAGGUACACCUUUAAGGUGAUACGGUUGAAGACUCAUUAGUCAAUUUUCUCCAUUUAGGGUCCGUUCCGGCACAAUAGAUCGGAAACCACAAACCUUGUGUCAGGGGGCAAGAGAAAGAGAGAGAAAGACCUUACGGUGUACGGAAAGAAAGAAAGACAAAGACAAGCGGUGGGGUUUAGGGUUCCGGCCUUUUUCAAAAAGAGAGAACGGUGUAGCGGCUCCGGAAUAGAGAGGGAGAGAGAUAGGAGGGUGACAUUUCAGAAUCCCGAUCUGCUGUUGAAAGACGCAAGGAAGCAGGUGCCCACUUGAGUUGGUUGUUUCCUCUGUCGCUUUCAAGGCAGCGCCCACUUCCAAUUUCAUCAGCAAGCAAGCAAUUGGUCGGGAAAUUCAACCAAGACCCAAGAAAGGCUCCAGGCGACUCAUGCGGCUACAAAUGAUUCAUGAAGCUAAGCCUCAAUGAAGAUUCAAGCUUCUGAUCUGGAAUGACAACGCAAGAAGAUUUCAAAUUUCAACAUUGAAAAAUGAAAUUUGGUACACGAAUAAAAAUGUAUUGAAAUAUUGUUUGGGGAAUUUUCGGGAUUGCUUUUCAUAUCACGGUUCAACCAUGGUGUGUAGAAGGAUGUCACCUUCCUUAUCAUAAAGCUUGAUGUUUGAGGGUGAUUAUAUCAAAUGGGAAAAGAAAAGAAAUCUCAUUCAAUGGAAGUUGCUUCUGUAUAAAAGUGGAGAUUAUAUAUAGGUAUCCUUCUUUAAUAACAUAUUAAGUUAUGUAGGUAGGCUUUACAGGUUAUCCUAUUGUAUAGUUAUGUUUGACCCAUAAUAAGUUUAUCAUUUUCGAAUUGGGUCUUAGUUUUAGGUCUAUUGGUCUAUUUAUUUCGCAUUGUAUCUCAUUGUAUGGCUGCACAUAUAAAUAUACAAUUUAAGGUUAACCAAGUUAUGGUUUACUUUUCAUGAACUCAAA
Helianthus annuus (common sunflower) is the source of this 1200-nucleotide long non-coding RNA. RefSeq lists it as uncharacterized. The record is from RefSeq and is a predicted model, not a curated record. The transcript is spliced from 4 exons. Lineage: Eukaryota; Viridiplantae; Streptophyta; Magnoliopsida; Asterales; Asteraceae.